AGACUAUGGUGUUCUUCCAAGUUUCUAGACCACUGAAAGUUCCUGAUGUCAGUGUUAAGUUGAAACAUUGAAAAUACACUUUCAGAUUGUGAAAAGUCAUCCUGAGCCAGCAUGGAAGUGGAGAAAGAGAUAGGAGGAGAACAACUGCAAAGAGCUCCAUAAUAAGAGAAUUUUCUGUUAUAUAGUCAGGGCAACUUCACAGGAAUGCAUCAAAUGGAUAAUUCAACCUGGACACUUCCUCUUGGAUUCCUACCUAGGAUAGUAUUAUGAGAGAACUGAGACUUAGAGUGAUUAGAAUUAAGAACAGAACUAAAAGGUGCCUGGAUGGGUAAAGCAGCCUAAAUUCUGAGCUCUGAAGCUGUGAAUUGAGGGCACAUGACAACAUCAUCACCAUCGUGGGGUGCUGGUGGAAGGGGGAACAACCUAGUUUUGGUGGCAUAGAAGAUUGGUGAGAGUAUGGGGAGAAUGUUCUUUGGAAUCCAAUAUAAAAUGAAAUAAUAAUAAUAAAGUGCUUGGCAUAGUUCCUGGAACA
RNAcentral lists this long non-coding RNA (532 nucleotides) under Monodelphis domestica (gray short-tailed opossum). RNAcentral describes it as "lncRNA (ENSMODG00000046620.1)". The record is from RNAcentral. Lineage: Eukaryota; Metazoa; Chordata; Mammalia; Didelphimorphia; Didelphidae.